RNAcentral lists this ribosomal RNA (468 nucleotides) under uncultured bacterium. RNAcentral's name for it is "bacterial SSU rRNA". It matches the Rfam family "Bacterial small subunit ribosomal RNA", at positions 335 to 795 of the family's 1533-position model. The record is from RNAcentral.
ACUCCUACGGGAGGCAGCAGUAGGGAAUCUUCCGCAAUGGACGAAAGUCUGACGGAGCAACGCCGCGUGAGUGAUGAAGGUUUUCGGAUCGUAAAACUCUGUUGUUAGGGAAGAACAAGUACAAGAGUAACUACUUGUACCUUGACGGUACCUAACCAGAAAGCCACGGCUAACUACGUGCCAGCAGCCGCGGUAAUACGUAGGUGGCAAGCGUUGUCCGGAAUUAUUGGGCGUAAAGCGCGCGCAGGCGGUCCUUUAAGUCUGAUGUGAAAGCCCACGGCUCAACCGUGGAGGGUCAUUGGAAACUGGGGGACUUGAGUGCAGAAGAGAAGAGUGGAAUUCCACGUGUAGCGGUGAAAUGCGUAGAGAUGCGGAGGAACACCAGUGGCGAAGGCGACUCUUUGGUCUGUAACUGACGCUGAGGCGCGAAAGCGUGGGGAGCAAACAGGAUUAGAUACCCUGGUAGUC